UAAGUAAUAGCAACCUUUAUAAUAUUUUACUUAUCAUGAUAUUACUGAAAGUAUCCACUGCUAUCCAUUUAUGAUUUCUUUGCUGCAAUACUUGAGGGCUACACAUUGUGCGUAUAUAAGCAGCUUAAAAUUCCACUCUAGAAUUCUCAUCCUUGUUAACCAACCUCGUAGACUAUAAUACCAAGUGGCUCUCUUUAUGCAUUCUAACUAUGUUGCAAAUGUCCACAGUGUUUCGCUCUAUACUUAGAUGAGGUUAGUGGGGGUGCUUUUCAUUUUUAUCUUUUUGAUAUAAUAAUCUUAUGUGCUCAAAUCCUAUUUUUUGUGCAAUAUCUUGGCCCUUAUGAUCCAUAGAUAUAUAAUUGUCUAAUUUUUGUCGAAUUCCAAUUGGGUACUGAAUGAAUUGGUUUACUACACAGUUAGGUCCUAUAUGAAAAGGUGAAAGUAAAUGUACUCAUUAUCUUCUAUUUUUGAUGAAAAUGUUUUGGUUUUGUUGUCAUAAGUUGAUGAACUAAACCAAUCCUAAAUCAAAAUAUUUACAUGAAUUAUGGUACAAAUCGUUAUUAGUCCAUGUAAAAUAAUCAAAAAGAUUUCUCAUCCUACCCUGCACUUGGUAAAGAGACCCUGAACUGAAGAAGAAACAAAUGAGGCAGCUAUUGCGUGAUCCAUGGAAGCUGUAUAAUUCUAGUACCAGAGUCUCAAUCUAAGCCGAACUGUUGGUAUUGGUUAAUGUUUGGUUAGUCCAUAGAACUGGUUGCUCUGUUUUUGGUUCUACUUCUCUCAACUCGUCAGCUAAAUGGGAUUUUGGGUUAGGGAUGAAAGAAUAUUGGAGUAUUAACAUUUUCUUGUUUGUUCAGGCAAUUGCUAAGAAGUUGGCUGACCUGAGUGGAAAGGGGGUCACAACCAUCAUAGGAGGCGGUGACUCUGUCGCUGCUGUAGAGAAGGUAGGGCUUGCUGACAAAAUGAGCCACAUUUCUACU
RNAcentral lists this long non-coding RNA (977 nucleotides) under Elaeis guineensis (African oil palm). RNAcentral describes it as "long non-coding RNA (EGUI_LNC001677)". The record is from RNAcentral. Lineage: Eukaryota; Viridiplantae; Streptophyta; Magnoliopsida; Arecales; Arecaceae.